UCCGGUUUGUCACCGGCAGUCUCCUUAGAGUUCCCACCAUUACGUGCUGGCAACUAAGGACAAGGGUUGCGCUCGUUGCGGGACUUAACCCAACAUCUCACGACACGAGCUGACGACAGCCAUGCAGCACCUGUCUCACGGUUCCCGAAGGCACCCCUCGAUCUCUCAAGGGUUCCGUGGAUGUCAAGGCCAGGUAAGGUUCUUCGCGUUGCAUCGAAUUAAACCACAUACUCCACCGCUUGUGCGGGCCCCCGUCAAUUCCUUUGAGUUUCAGUCUUGCGACCGUACUCCCCAGGCGGCCAACUUAACGCGUUAGCUUCGACACUGAGCUCCGAAGUGAGCCCAACGUCCAGUUGGCAUCGUUUAGGGCGUGGACUAC
RNAcentral lists this unclassified non-coding RNA (379 nucleotides) under uncultured Lysobacteraceae bacterium. RNAcentral's name for it is "uncultured Xanthomonadaceae bacterium contains 16S-23S intergenic spacer region". Lineage: Bacteria; Pseudomonadati; Pseudomonadota; Gammaproteobacteria; Lysobacterales; Lysobacteraceae. The record is from RNAcentral.